This is a long non-coding RNA of Eurytemora carolleeae, 499 nucleotides long. RefSeq lists it as uncharacterized. The record is from RefSeq and is a predicted model, not a curated record. The transcript is spliced from 5 exons. Lineage: Eukaryota; Metazoa; Arthropoda; Copepoda; Calanoida; Temoridae.
GCGCGAAGCGCCCUGAAAGCCUAGUAUAGAUAAAAUUAGCUCAUAUUCUGGCACCUGUGUAAAUCCUAUUCUAACAGAAAACAAUGAUCAUGAAGAUGAAACCAGAACCCGAGACAGCCGAGGGAGGAGCCAAAGCCCAGACUGCUCCACAACGGACCUACCGCCAAUCUUAUUUAUUGGGACCAGAAAAACCCGCUCCCAGGGGGGUCGAGGGGGCGGACCCCCCAACAGAAAAAAAAACAGAACUUUGGGUGCUCCCUAUGUGGGAACCCCCCUGGUUAAGAAAAUUGUCGAGGAGGCGGAGGAUGAGGAACUACAGACCGUGACCGACUUCAGCCAGCUGGCGUCAGAAACUGAGACCUGCUUGGAGUGAAGAGGAGGCUGGCUGGAGCCCUUUUUUUUGCCGCCAAUUUUGUUUUUUUAUGCCCCCUUUUUGUGGGCUAACCCAUUGUAUUGGUAAAAUUGUUUUGCUUUUUGAAAAUAAAGUGUGUAAAUUUGA